RNAcentral lists this long non-coding RNA (4257 nucleotides) under Homo sapiens (human). Its description in RNAcentral is "HSALNT0341571". The record is from RNAcentral. Lineage: Eukaryota; Metazoa; Chordata; Mammalia; Primates; Hominidae.
CUGAAGUGAUCUGCCCACCUCGGCUUCCCAAAGUGCUGGGACUGCAGGUGUGAGCCACUGCGCCUGGCCCCUUCAGGUGGGUUUUGAGGCUUCACGUUGCUGCUGCAAUAAAUUACCACACACUUAGUGGCUUAAAACAGCACAGAGGUAUUCCCUUACAUUUCUGAAGGCCAGAAUUCUAAAAUCAGUCCCACUGAGUCAAGGUGGGAGCAGGGUCAGUGCCUUCCCAGGCUCUGCGGGAGAAUCUGUUUCCUGGCCCUGGAGGCGGCCUGUACUCCUUAGCUUGUGCUGCCCUUCUGGAAUGACUCGAGUUUCCUGCUUUCAUCACUACACCUCCCACCGCUCUCCAUCACCUGCUGUGCUCUUACGAGGAUCCAGCUGAGACAUGUUUUAGGAAGUUUGCUAAAAGACCCCUGGAGACGUCCUCAUUGUGGCCUCCCUGCUGUUGUGUUUAAUUUGGUUGAUCUUCUCUGCCCUCCUGCUUUUCAGAAUUAAAAGGCUAAAAAGAGUUUUCAGAGAAAUGGAAUAAUUGUAUUGCUGAUCUACGUAAACAAGUUGAAGAAUUGUCUGAAAGAAAAUAUGGUGUGUCUGAACUGGAAAAGUCCUGUGAUAGUUUGUUCAUGAGCAUUUACACAAUGGAGUUACUGUUCAUCAUGGGGGUACUGUGGACAAGCCCAGGGCUGCUGACAUAAUCUUAUGAAUUCAACACAUGAAGAUUUACAACUUGAUAAACCAGCUUCAGGAGAUCAGAACUUCUUACAAUACAACUGAUGUUACUCAGCCUAGAACAAAUACAACAGGGAUUGUGCUGCAUUCUGACUUAGGUUCUGCCAUCGAACACAGAAUGCCCUGAUCCUUAGAGGCAGAGGCAGCUCUUCAGCCUAUGGGAAAACUGUGGAUUUAGUUACUCCACUCUGCCAUGUCCUUCCACCACUGCCUGCACAUUUGAGACCAAGGAUAGAGAUUGGGAAAAAUCCAUAGUUCUCCUGACUCAGAGUUUGGCUCCGGCACUCUCAUUUCAGCCAUAGCUGCAGACAAAGCACACGACUGCUGGGCACUGUGGCUCAAGAGAAGGGGGAGAUGCAGGAAGAAGAUGAGCCUUAAGUCUGAACACUGAGGAAUUCAUGUGCAUCAGUCAGACCUCCUGUGCAAGGAAGGAUGUGGUUACUACGGCAACCCUGCCUGGCAGGGUUUCUGCUCCAAGUGCUGGAGGGAAGAGUACCACAAAGCCAGGCAGAAGGAGAUUCAGGAGGACUGGGAGCUGGCGGAGCGACUCCAGUGGGAGGAAGAGGCCUUUGCCAGCAGUCAGAGCAGCCAAGGGGCCCAAUCCCUCACAUUCUCCAAGUUUGAAGGAAAGAAAACCAACGAGAAGACCCACGAGGUUACCACAGUGAAGAAAUCUUCAGUGCGUCUUCCAGGGUCGGAUCAAAGAAGGCAGAAAUUCAGGAAGCAAAAGCCAGUCCUUCCAUAAACCGGCGAACCAGCAUUGAAACGGAUAGAGUGUCUAAGGAGUUCAUAGAAUUUCUCAAGACCUUCCACAAGACAGGCCAAGAAAUCUAUAAACAGACCAAGCUGUUUUUGGAAGGGAUGCAUUACAAAAGGUGCCUCCAGAAAGGGUUGAGAAGAUAAUGGAUCAGAUUGAAAAGUACAUCAUGACUCAUCUCUGUAAAUAUGCGUUCUGUCCAGAACCCCAGUGAGCCUGGAAGACUGGGUGCUAUGGGAAAUGUCAUCAAUCCAAUGCUAGUGAAAGAUGUGACUGGGGAAUGCUGAAAAAUGCGCACCCCUGGGAGGAAUGAGGAAAGAUGACAUCCACUGACUUGUUAUUUUUUUGAGAAGGAGUCUUGCUCUGUUGCCCAGGCUGGAGUGUGGUGGCACGAUCUCGGCUCACUGAUGAUGAGAAGAAAGAUCUUGCCAUUCAAAAGAGGAUCAGAGUGGAAGCUUCUCUGUGGUGUCAGAAAGACGAGGAAUGUGGUGACCUCACCUAUCCAUCUCCCUCAAGGCAGCUUUUGUUUUUCUGCAGUGACCGUACUUGCAAUAAUUAAACAUAGUUGGUCAUUUAAAAUACAUCUCUGAUACUCUCGUCAAAGGUGGAGCCCAGUCCCUAUCGCCUUGAGUGAGGGCUGGGUUACGUGAUUCCCUUCUGACAGAUAGGAAAAAGCAAAAGUGAUGGCUUGCAACUUUGCAAACUACAUCAUAAAAGGUACUGUGGCUUCCUCCUUGCUCACUCUUUGAUUACUCACUUGGGAAAGCCAGCUGUCACACCAUGACACCUAAGCAGCCUGUAGAGAGGCUCAUGUAACAGGAACUGAGGCCUCCUGUCAGCAGUCACAUGAGGGAGCCAUCUUGGAAACAGGCUUUAGGUGACUGCAGUCUCAGUGGACAGCUUGAGUGCAAUGUCAUGAGACACCCUGAGCCCAAAUGACCCAGCUAUGCCACUCCUGAAUUCCUGACCCACAGAAAUGGAGAUCCUAACUUAAGUUCUUGGACUCACUGAGGCAGUAAAAGAACCAUAUCCUGUGUUUGAAUCAAAUCCCAAGUUCCUGUACGUAGAAGGUUUGCCAGACAGGAUUCCCUUUCGAAGCCCUCCUGGUUUGGAAUUCCAUGACUUGAAAGGAUCGUCCAUGGGAGUAAUAAAAUCAAAUUUGUUGGUAAAAAACCUGAACUGGUUAUUUCCUACUUGCCUCCUGGAGUUGCUAAUAAAAUAAACACUAAAGCUUCGCAGUUUCUAAAAAGACCAUGAAGCCCUGAGAGUAAUGAAAAGGUUCCUGAAAUUGAGGUCACUGUGGAAGAUCAGAGGAUCAGAGAUCUCUCCUCAACACGAGGUGCCAUCCUUUCCUGAAGGAGCUCCUUGUAAAGUGCAUGAGGUGUUCCUUUUGGUAAAAAGACACACUGCGCGACCGCAGAGACCUGAGCCUGAACCUAUAAAGAUCUGAACAAGCUGAGGCACAUGCCUUGGGAGCUAAGUGGCUGCUGCACUUGACCACUAUGAAGACUGGUGUGGGAAGAAUCCUUUUGGAUGCACUUGCAGGGGCCCCUAAUCCCUGGGUCACAGGACUAUAAUGGGCUACAUGGCAGGAGGAGAAUCUAAUGCCUGAUGAUCUGUCACUAUCUCCCAUCACCCCCAGAUGGGACCAUCUAGUUGCAGGAAAAGAAGGUCAAGACUCCCAGUCAUUCUACAUUAUGCCUCAGCCAAGAUGUCUCACCCCACUCUCUCUGAUGCAACAAGAAGCCCCUGGAGAACGUUUCAGUCCCAUUUUGUACUUCUGUCAUGUGCUCAUCACAGUCUGGUGGAAUUUAAAUGACCUCUUAUCAAGAUGGAUAAACCCAAGUUUCCCAGUGCUGGAAUAUAGAAAAUGGAUGGACAAGUAAGUCCCACUCAGCACCCAUAGCCCAGACAUGGGGACCUCAACACACCUGGGCCCCAGACAUCACCUUUCAUUCCGAGGCAUAUGCCAUUCAAGCUAAGGGUGCUACACUUGACCACUGCGGCAGUAUAGAUGAGUCUGAAGAAUGGUAUGGGAUGGAUACUUACGAAUGCACUCGAGCAGGGGUCUCCAUCCACAGGGCCACAGAGCCAGAGGUGAGCAGCAGCUGGAUCUACCAUGAAAGACUUCAGAGUCCAGGAAGAGAGACUGAUUGGGCAACAUGUUAUUCAGUUACAAAAAGACUUGGACUAUGACUCAAAAAUGAUCAAAUAAUAGUGCAUGCAUCCAAUGCAAUAAGAAGCACUUCUGGAGGGUGAGAGAAGCAUCCAGUUAAGGUGACAUUGAAGCUGGGUCCUGAAAGAUGAGGAAGAAUUGUAUGAGAGUGGGCAGAGAAGGGGGAGGUGGAGGGAUGGGGAAUGGGCUGAGAUGGAGUGAGCUGCUCAAGCAGGGAAACCAGCACUGUAAAGACCUGGUCAAUAAAGAUGGCACAUUUUAUUCAGGGAAUGGUGAAUUAAUUGUGGCAGGAAUGCUUUGGAGAGAGAGUAAUUUGCUUGUAUGGAAUUUUGCCCAAGAGACCUCAUUACAGUUUCUAAUCUUUUGAUGUUAUCGUCUAUCACUGUCCUUGUCAGAUAGUUUGGAAUAGGUAUAAUGAUCACAAUAACAUCAAGCAUAAUAUUUCAUUAAUUCUCACAAAAUCACAGGUAGGUGCCACAGUUAUCCCCAUUUUGUGAAUGAAGUGAUGAAGACUUAGGAAUGAUGAGUGAUUGCCCAAGCUCACCUGGAUAUUAAGAGGUCUUGCUCUGUUGUCCAGGCUGGAAUGUGGUAGUGCUAU